Molecule: ribosomal RNA, 721 nt
Filed under: uncultured fungus
Lineage: Eukaryota; Fungi
Description: eukaryotic LSU rRNA
Rfam family: Eukaryotic large subunit ribosomal RNA
Source: RNAcentral
CCCGCUGAACUUAAGCAUAUCAAUAAGCGGAGGAAAAGAAACUAACAAGGAUUCCCCUAGUAACGGCGAGUGAAGCGGGAAGAGCUCAAAUUUAAAAUCUGGUUUGCUUUGCAAAUCCGAGUUGUAGUCUGAAGAAACGUUUUCCAUGAAAGCUGAGGCACAAGUCCUUUGGAACAGGGCAUCAUAGAGGGUGAGAAUCCCGUCCAUGGUCUCAAGCCUUUCAUUUUGUGAUACGUUUUCUAAGAGUCAGGUUGUUUGGGAAUGCAGCCUAAAAUGGGUGGUAAAUUUCAUCUAAAGCUAAAUAUUGGCGAGAGACCGAUAGCGAACAAGUACCGUGAGGGAAAGAUGAAAAGAACUUUGAAAAGAGAGUUAAAAAGUACGUGAAAUUGUUGAAAGGGAACCGUUUGAAGCCAGUCUUGCUUGCUUGUGAUCAAUCUUUGCUUCGGCUUGGAUGCACUCUCAGGUUAUGCAGGUCAACGUCAGUUUGAGAGGUGGGAAAAAAGCUUGAGGAAUGUGGCCUUCGGGUGUUAUAGCCUCUUGCUAAAUACCAUCUUUUGGACUGAGGCUCGCAGCAAAAAUGUGGGCAGGUUUGCGUUUGAGGUGAUACAUUAUUAAGACAGCUUGCUGACUUAGUUUUGUCUAUCUCUCCCUGUAAGCUUCGCUUCUAAUUUGCUUAGGUCGUUGACUAUAAUGGCUUUAAAUGACCCGUCUUGAAACACGG